UUCCAACUGUAUCAAUUGCACAGCCUCUAUGAGAUGAUAUAAUGGUGAAACAACAAAAUGUGUUUUCGUUUUUGGUUUUUUUAUGGGCAAAGACUGGUCUUCUUGAGAUUUAUUUUUAAAAGUUGUUAUAUAGUCUGCUCAGAUUUUGUUGUGGGACAUGGGGAACUAUGGUCUGCUCAGAUGUUGUCUUUAGUUAUUAGAAAGAAUGGGGUCGCUUGCAAAUGGAUGGAUGGUGAUGACUCUUGUUAAUCUUGGUUUAUCUAUUUAUAUUUGUUUAGAUUGUUAAAUGCUGGUUAAUUCAGCAUAGGCUUUUGAGAACUUAUAUUUGCCAUGGUUGAUGAAUAUUGCCAAUUAUACAUUCGCCUUGUGUU
Molecule: non-coding RNA, 371 nt
Organism: Arachis ipaensis
Lineage: Eukaryota; Viridiplantae; Streptophyta; Magnoliopsida; Fabales; Fabaceae
Source: RefSeq, a predicted model, not a curated record